UAGUCUCGCACAGAUGCAUAUCAAUAAGCGGAGGAAAAGAAACUAACAAGGAUUCCCUUAGUAACGGCGAGUGGAGCGGGAAGAGCUCAAAUUUGAAAUCUUGAAAGGUCACCUUUCACGAAUUGUAGUUUAAAGAAGUGUUUUCUGUUACGAUCGUAAUAUAAGUUCUUUGGAAUAGGACAUCACAGAGGGUGAGAAUCCCGUCUAUGAUUGCGAUUUGUAGCUUUGUGAUACACUUUCAAAGAGUCGGGUUGUUUGGGAAUGCAGCCCAAAACGGGAGGUAAAUUUCUUCUAAGGCUAAAUAUUGGCGAGAGACCGAUAGCGAACAAGUACCGUGAGGGAAAGAUGAAAAGAACUUUGAAAAGAGAGUUAAAUAGUACGUGAAAUUGUCAAAAGGGAAGCGCUUAACACCAGUGUUGUUUUCUGAAAAUCAACCUCUGUUAGCUUUAUGCAUGUUUGUUUAGACCUAAUCAGCUAUCCUUGCAUGUUCUAUUGUUUGCAGUGGUGCACUUUUCAGUUUACAGGUCAACAUCAGUUUUUUUUACCGUAAAAAAGUUAAAGAAAGGUAGCUCAUGGCUCCGGUCGUGAGUGUUAUAGUCUUUUUCCUAUGCGGUAGGAGAGACUGAGGUCUGCAGUGUAGGCUAUUUGGCUAGAUACUCAGGUGCUAUGUGAUACCAUUUCAUAAACAACUUGUUGAUUAUGUUUUGUCUAUUGCAUACUCGCUUGUACUAUCAUACCUACGCUUAGGAUGUUGAAGAUGUAGCACAUCAU
This 771-nucleotide ribosomal RNA is filed under the name uncultured Neocallimastigales. RNAcentral describes it as "partial large subunit ribosomal RNA". The stretch from base 5 to 661 matches the Rfam family "Eukaryotic large subunit ribosomal RNA", at positions 24 to 664 of the family's 3401-position model. Lineage: Eukaryota; Fungi; Neocallimastigomycota; Neocallimastigomycetes; Neocallimastigales. The record is from RNAcentral.